CGUUGCACUAUCGUUAACUGAAUACAUAGGUUAACGAGGCGAACCGGGGGAACUGAAACAUCUAAGUACCCCGAGGAAAAGAAAUCAACCGAGAUUCCCCCAGUAGCGGCGAGCGAACGGGGAGCAGCCCGGAGUCUGAAUCAGCUUGUGUGUUAGUGGAACGGUCUGGAAAGUCCGACGGUACAGGGUGAUAGUCCCGUACACGAAAGCACACAUGCUGUGAACUCGAAGAGUAGGGCGGGACACGUGGUAUCCUGUCUGAAUAUGGGGGGACCAUCCUCCAAGGCUAAAUACUCCUGACUGACCGAUAGUGAACCAGUACCGUGAGGGAAAGGCGAAAAGAACCCCGGCGAGGGGAGUGAAAAAGAACCUGAAACCGUGUACGUACAAGCAGUGGGAGCCUCUUUAUGGGGUGACUGCGUACCUUUUGUAUAAUGGGUCAGCGACUUAUAUUCUGUAGCAAGGUUAACCGUAUAGGGGAGCCGAAGGGAAACCGAGUCUUAACUGGGCGUUAAGUUGCAGGGUAUAGACCCGAAACCCGGUGAUCUAGCCAUGGGCAGGUUGAAGGUUGGGUAACACUAACUGGAGGACCGAACCGACUAAUGUUGAAAAAUUAGCGGAUGACCUGUGGCUGGGGGUGAAAGGCCAAUCAAACCGGGAGAUAGCUGGUUCUCCCCGAAAGCUAUUUAGGUAGCGCCUCGUGAACUCAUCUUCGGGGGUAGAGCACUGUUUCGGCUAGGGGGCCAUCCCGGCUUACCAACCCGAUGCAAACUACGAAUACCGAAGAAUGUUAUCACGGGAGACACACGGCGGGUGCUAACGUCCGUCGUGAAGAGGGAAACAACCCAGACCGCCAGCUAAGGUCCCAAAGUCAUGGUUAAGUGGGAAACGAUGUGGGAAGGCACAGACAGCCAGGAUGUUGGCUUAGAAGCAGCCAUCAUUUAAAGAAAGCGUAAUAGCUCACUGGUCGAGUCGGCCUGCGCGGAAGAUGUAACGGGGCUAAACCAUGCACCGAAGCUGCGGCAGCGACGCUUAUGCGUUGUUGGGUAGGGGAGCGUUCUGUAAGCCGUUGAAGGUGUCCUGUGAGGGGUGCUGGAGGUAUCAGAAGUGCGAAUGCUGACAUAAGUAACGAUAAAGCGGGUGAAAAGCCCGCUCGCCGGAAGACCAAGGGUUCCUGUCCAACGUUAAUCGGGGCAGGGUGAGUCGACCCCUAAGGCGAGGCCGAAAGGCGUAGUCGAUGGGAAACAGGUUAAUAUUCCUGUACUUGGUGUUACUGCGAAGGGGGGACGGAGAAGGCUAUGUCAGCCGGGCGACGGUUGUCCCGGUUUAAGCAUGUAGGCGGAGGUUCCAGGUAAAUCCGGUACCUUAUUAACGCUGAGGUGUGAUGACGAGGCACUACGGUGCUGAAGUGAUAAAUGCCCUGCUUCCAGGAAAAGCCUCUAAGCAUCAGGUAACACGAAAUCGUACCCCAAACCGACACAGGUGGUCAGGUAGAGAAUACCAAGGCGCUUGAGAGAACUCGGGUGAAGGAACUAGGCAAAAUGGUGCCGUAACUUCGGGAGAAGGCACGCUGAUGUGUAGGUGAAGUCCCUGCGGACGGAGCUGAAAUCAGUCGAAGAUACCAGCUGGCUGCAACUGUUUAUUAAAAACACAGCACUGUGCAAACACGAAAGUGGACGUAUACGGUGUGACGCCUGCCCGGUGCCGGAAGGUUAAUUGAUGGGGUUAGCGGCAACGCGAAGCUCUUGAUCGAAGCCCCGGUAAACGGCGGCCGUAACUAUAACGGUCCUAAGGUAGCGAAAUUCCUUGUCGGGUAAGUUCCGACCUGCACGAAUGGCGUAAUGAUGGCCAGGCUGUCUCCACCCGAGACUCAGUGAAAUUGAACUCGCUGUGAAGAUGCAGUGUACCCGCGGCAAGACGGAAAGACCCCGUGAACCUUUACUAUAGCUUGACACUGAACACUGGUCCUUGAUGUGUAGGAUAGGUGGGAGGCUUUGAAGCGUGGACGCCAGUCUGCGUGGAGCCAACCUUGAAAUACCACCCUUUAAUGGCUGGUGUUCUAACGUAGACCCGUAAUCCGGGUUGCGGACAGUGUCUGGUGGGUAGUUUGACUGGGGCGGUCUCCUCCCAAAGAGUAACGGAGGAGCACGAAGGUUGGCUAAUCCUGGUCGGACAUCAGGAGGUUAGUGCAAUGGCAUAAGCCAGCUUGACUGCGAGCGUGACGGCGCGAGCAGGUGCGAAAGCAGGUCAUAGUGAUCCGGUGGUUCUGAAUGGAAGGGCCAUCGCUCAACGGAUAAAAGGUACUCCGGGGAUAACAGGCUGAUACCGCCCAAGAGUUCAUAUCGACGGCGGUGUUUGGCACCUCGAUGUCGGCUCAUCACAUCCUGGGGCUGAAGUAGGUCCCAAGGGUAUGGCUGUUCGCCAUUUAAAGUGGUACGCGAGCUGGGUUUAGAACGUCGUGAGACAGUUCGGUCCCUAUCUGCCGUGGGCGCUGGAGAAUUGAGGGGGGCUGCUCCUAGUACGAGAGGACCGGAGUGGACGCAUCACUGGUGUUCGGGUUGUCAUGCCAAUGGCACUGCCCGGUAGCUAAAUGCGGAAGAGAUAAGUGCUGAAAGCAUCUAAGCACGAAACUUGCCCCGAGAUGAGUUCUCCCUGAGACCUUGAGUCUCCUGAAGGAACGUUGAAGACGACGACGUUGAUAGGUCGGGUGUGUAAGCGCAGCGAUGCGUUGAGCUAACCGAUACUAAUGAACCGUGAGGCUUAACCUU
RNAcentral lists this ribosomal RNA (2768 nucleotides) under Enterobacter hormaechei subsp. hoffmannii UCI 50. RNAcentral's name for it is "bacterial LSU rRNA". It matches the Rfam family "Bacterial large subunit ribosomal RNA". The record is from RNAcentral. Lineage: Bacteria; Pseudomonadati; Pseudomonadota; Gammaproteobacteria; Enterobacterales; Enterobacteriaceae.